This 64-nucleotide transfer RNA is filed under the name Chaetocnema scheffleri. Its description in RNAcentral is "tRNA-Glu". The record is from RNAcentral. Lineage: Eukaryota; Metazoa; Arthropoda; Insecta; Coleoptera; Chrysomelidae.
AUUUAUAUAGUUUAAGUAAAACUUUACAUUUUCAUUGUAAAAUUAGAAAUAAUUCUUAUAAAUA